This 506-nucleotide ribosomal RNA is filed under the name uncultured bacterium. RNAcentral describes it as "partial 16S ribosomal RNA". It matches the Rfam family "Bacterial small subunit ribosomal RNA", at positions 29 to 523 of the family's 1533-position model. The record is from RNAcentral.
AGUGAACGCUGGCGGUAGGCCUAACACAUGCAAGUCGAACGGCAGCACAGGAGAGCUUGCUCUCUGGGUGGCGAGUGGCGGACGGGUGAGGAAUACAUCGGAAUCUACUUUUUCGUGGGGGAUAACGUAGGGAAACUUACGCUAAUACCGCAUACGACCUACGGGUGAAAGCAGGGGACCUUCGGGCCUUGCGCGAUGGAAUGAGCCGAUGCCGGAUUAGCUAGUUGGCGGGGUAAAGGCCCACCAAGGCGACGAUCCGUAGCUGGUCUGAGAGGAUGAUCAGCCACACUGGAACUGAGACACGGUCCAGACUCCUACGGGAGGCAGCAGUGGGGAAUAUUGGACAAUGGGCGCAAGCCUGAUCCAGCCAUACCGCGUGGGUGAAGAAGGCCUUCGGGUUGUAAAGCCCUUUUGUUGGGAAAGAAAUCCAGCUGGCUAAUACCCGGUUGGGAUGACGGUACCCAAAGAAUAAGCACCGGCUAACUUCGUGCCAGCCGCCGCGGUAA